GAUGAACGCUGGCGGCGUGCCUAAUACAUGCGAGUCGAGCGAACAGAUGAGGAGCUUGCUCGUCUGACGUUAGCGGCGGACGGGUGAGUAACACGUGGAUAACCUACCUAUAAGACUGGGAUAACUUCGGGAAACCGGAGCUAAUACCGGAUAAUAUAUUGAACCGCAUGGUUCAAUAGUGAAAGACGGUUUUGCUGUCACUUAUAGAUGGAUCCGCGCCGCAUUAGCUAGUUGGUAAGGUAACGGCUUACCAAGGCGACGAUGCGUAGCCGACCUGAGAGGGUGAUCGGCCACACUGGAACUGAGACACGGUCCAGACUCCUACGGGAGGCAGCAGUAGGGAAUCUUCCGCAAUGGGCGAAAGCCUGACGGAGCAACGCCGCGUGAGUGAUGAAGGUCUUCGGAUCGUAAAACUCUGUUAUUAGGGAAGAACAAAUGUGUAAGUAACUAUGCACGUCUUGACGGUACCUAAUCAGAAAGCCACGGCUAACUACGUG
RNAcentral lists this ribosomal RNA (497 nucleotides) under uncultured bacterium. RNAcentral's name for it is "partial 16S ribosomal RNA". It matches the Rfam family "Bacterial small subunit ribosomal RNA", at positions 28 to 507 of the family's 1533-position model. The record is from RNAcentral.